UACGUAGGGUGCAAGCGUUGUCCGGAAUUAUUGGGCGUAAAGAGCUCGUAGGCGGUUUGUUGCGUCGGCUGUGUAAUCCCGAGGCUCAACCUCGGGUCUGCAGUCGAUACGAGCAAACUAGAGUGCUGCAGGGGAGACUGGAAUUCCUGGUGUAGCGGUGAAAUGCGCAGAUAUCAGGAGGAACACCGGUGGCGAAGGCGGGUCUCUGGGCAACAACUGACGCUGAGGAGCGAAAGCGUGGGGAGCGAACAGG
Molecule: ribosomal RNA, 253 nt
Filed under: uncultured bacterium
Lineage: Bacteria
Description: partial 16S ribosomal RNA
Rfam family: Bacterial small subunit ribosomal RNA
Source: RNAcentral